This 200-nucleotide ribosomal RNA is filed under the name uncultured bacterium. Its description in RNAcentral is "partial 16S ribosomal RNA". It matches the Rfam family "Bacterial small subunit ribosomal RNA", at positions 326 to 544 of the family's 1533-position model. The record is from RNAcentral.
ACGCUCGACACCUACGGGAUGCAGCAGUGGGGAAUAUUGCACAAUGGGGGAAACCCUGAUGCAGCGACGCCGCGUGGAGGAAGAAGGUCUUCGGAUUGUAAACUCCUGUUGUUGGGGAAAAAGAGGAUGGUACCCAACAAGGAAGUGACGGCUAACUACGUGCCAGUAGCCGCGGUAAUCUGAGCGGGCGUGGCAAGGCG